AGAUUGAACGCUGGCGGCAGGCCUAACACAUGCAAGUCGAGCGGCAGCACGGGUACUUGUACCUGGUGGCGAGCGGCGGACGGGUGAGUAAUGCCUAGGAAUCUGCCUAGUGGUGGGGGAUAACGUUCGGAAACGGACGCUAAUACCGCAUACGUCCUACGGGAGAAAGCGGGGGACCUUCGGGCCUCGCGCCAUUAGAUGAGCCUAGGUCGGAUUAGCUAGUUGGUGAGGUAAUGGCUCACCAAGGCGACGAUCCGUAACUGGUCUGAGAGGAUGAUCAGUCACACUGGAACUGAGACACGGUCCAGACUCCUACGGGAGGCAGCAGUGGGGAAUAUUGGACAAUGGG
RNAcentral lists this ribosomal RNA (349 nucleotides) under uncultured soil bacterium. RNAcentral's name for it is "bacterial SSU rRNA". It matches the Rfam family "Bacterial small subunit ribosomal RNA", at positions 26 to 375 of the family's 1533-position model. The record is from RNAcentral.